GUACUGCAUGACGUCGGUCUCUUCUGCGCAGGAUAGGUGGGAGGCUUUGACCUUUUCUUCCGGGAUUGCUGGAGCCAUCCUUGAGAUACCACUCUGAUAAUUUUAGGAUUCUAACCCUACUCUUUGAUCCGGGACGGGAACCAUUUCCGGGGGGCAGUUUGACUGGGGCGGUCGCCUCCCAAAAGGGAACGGAAGCGCGGCAAGGGUUCCUCCAAGCGGGCCGAAAUCCAGCCGUAAAUGGAAAGGGCAAAGGGAACUUGGAUUGCAAAACCAACAGGCCAACAAGGACCAAAAGCCGGCCUUAUGGAUCCGCCGGUCCCAGGUGAAAGGCCCUCCCCUAACCGAAUAAAAUUUCCUCUAGGAAUACCAGGUGGAGAACUUCCUAAAA
Molecule: ribosomal RNA, 388 nt
Filed under: uncultured alga
Lineage: Eukaryota
Description: bacterial LSU rRNA
Rfam family: Bacterial large subunit ribosomal RNA
Source: RNAcentral